CCUACGGGUGGCAGCAGUGAGGAAUAUUGGUCAAUGGUCGGGAGCCUGAACCAGCCAAGCCGCGUGAGGGAGGAAGGUACAGAGUAUCGUAAACCUCUUUUGUCAGGGAACAAAGGCGGGGACGUGUCCCCGGAUGAGUGUACCUGAAGAAAAAGCAUCGGCUAACUCCGUGCCAGCAGCCGCGGUAAUACGGAGGAUGCGAGCGUUAUCCGGAUUUAUUGGGUUUAAAGGGUGCGCAGGCGGUCUGUAAAGUCAGCGGUCAAAGCCCGGGGCUCAACCCCGGCCCGCCGUUGAAACUGGGGGUCUCGAGUUGGCGAGAAGUAUGCGGAAUGCGCGGUGUAGCGGUGAAAUGCAUAGAUAUCGCGCAGAACUCCGAUUGCGAAGGCAGCAUGCCGGCUCCACACUGACGCUGAGGCACGAAAGCGUGGGUAUCGAACAGGAUUAGAUACCCCAGUAGUC
RNAcentral lists this ribosomal RNA (459 nucleotides) under uncultured bacterium. RNAcentral describes it as "partial 16S ribosomal RNA". It matches the Rfam family "Bacterial small subunit ribosomal RNA", at positions 338 to 795 of the family's 1533-position model. The record is from RNAcentral.